This 358-nucleotide unclassified non-coding RNA is filed under the name soil metagenome. RNAcentral's name for it is "partial contains 5.8S ribosomal RNA, internal transcribed spacer 2, and large subunit ribosomal RNA". The stretch from base 1 to 120 matches the Rfam family "5.8S ribosomal RNA", at positions 35 to 154 of the family's 154-position model. The record is from RNAcentral.
GAUGAAGAACGUAGCGAAAUGCUAUAAGUAAUGUGAAUUGCAGAAUUCAGUGAAUCAUCGAAUCUUUGAACGCACAUUGCGCCCGUCAGUAUUCUGGCGGGCAUGCCUGUUCGAGCGUCAUUACGCCCCUCAAGUCCCCUGUGGACUUGGUGUUGGGGAUCGGCGAGGCUGGUUUUCCAGCACAGCCGUCCCUUAAAUUAAUUGGCGGUCUCGCCGUGGCCCUCCUCUGCGCAGUAGUAAAACACUCGCAACAGGAGCCCGGCGCGGUCCACUGCCGUAAAACCCCCCAACUUUUUAUAGUUGACCUCGAAUCAGGUAGGACUACCCGCUGAACUUAAGCAUAUCAAUAAGCGGAGGA